Molecule: non-coding RNA, 88 nt
Filed under: Streptomyces autolyticus
Lineage: Bacteria; Bacillati; Actinomycetota; Actinomycetes; Kitasatosporales; Streptomycetaceae
Also listed under: 1 other name
Source: RNAcentral
CAGGAAGCCGGUGGAAAUCCGGCGCGGUCCCGCCACUGUGAGCGCGGUGGCUGCCAGAAACGGCAGCGGCCGAGCGAGCCAGGAACUG